AUGAAACACAAAACAUAUAUCAGUAUUAAUGAUAGAUAUACAAUGGCAAAAGAUCAUAAAAGGGCGUGGAGGGGGCACUCUAUAGCGCCACCUUUUGUCAAAAGUGGGGGGCUUAGUUUUAGCUACAGACACCAAACUCAGUACAUAAAUUGUUCUUAUCAAGACGGACAACUUUCUAAUUUACAGUCUUAUCUGCCUCAAAAUGACCAGAACAGAAUAUUCAAGAUUGACAAGUUGCCAUGGCAACACUAUAUUAGAUAUCAAUAUCCCCACAACAGAUUUACAUUGGCCGUGUUUUGUCAUUAUUCUGAUGAAGUUUGAAGCAAAUCGAGUGAAAAUAAGAUGCUGAAUACAAAGCAUUUUGAAAAUGAUUAUAACUGAAUAUCGGCAUGUAAAUGUCUUCAGGCCAGGACUCUUACCAAACAUGCAAAGUUUCGGGCAGAUCAGACAUUGCAUGUUUAAGUUAGUGUAAAAGUAAUUUCCUGUUGCCAGCAGGUGGCGCUAAGACUAUAAACAAAUAUUGGCCUAAAGAUGAGUUCAGGCCAGGACCCAUAUCAAACACAAGAACUUUGGGCAGACCGGAUAUUGCAUGUUUAAGUUAGUUUAAAACAAGUAAUUUCCUGUCACCAGCAGGUGGCGGUAUGAUUAUAACUGAAAUAUUGGCCUUAAAAUCUGUUGAGACUAGGAAUCUUAUCAAACAUGUGAAGUUUAGGGCAGAUCAGACAUUUCAUGUUUAAGUUAGUUUAAAAUAAGUUAUUUCCUGUUGCCAGCAGGUGGCACUAUAAUUAUUAUUGAAUAUUGGCCUUUAAAUGUGUUCAGGCCAGGACUCUUAUAAAACGUGUGAAAUUUGGGGCAGAUUGGGCAUUGUAUGCAUGAGUUACAACAACUUCCUGAUUCAUAGUAUUAAUAGCAUCCUUUAGCACAUAGUAAGUGUUGCUAGCAUGUUUGAGAAUAUUUCUAGCAUGAUUAGUACACAAUGGCAUAUUUUACGGUGUUGCUAAUAGUGCAUAAAAGUAAUAAAACAUGUCACUUCCUGUUGUCAGUAGGUGGCAUUAUAACUAUAACCAAAUAUGAGCAUGUAGAUAUCUUCAGGCCAGGACUCUAAUCGAACUUGUGAAGUUUGAGGCAGAUUGGACAAUGUAUGCACGAGUUACAGUAAUGUUCUACUUCACUGCAUUAAUUAGGGCCCGAGCACCGAUGGUGUGAGGACCCUAUUGUAUCUGCUUCGUUUAUUAGGGCCCGAGCACCGAUGGUGCGAGGACCCUCUUGUAUCUGCUUUGUUAGGGCCCGAGCACCGAUGGUGUGAGGACCCUCUUGUAUCUGCUUUGUUUAUUAUUAUUAUUAUUCUUCUCCUUCUUCUUCUUCUACUUCUCCAAAAUGAAUCGCAUUUUUGAGGGCCUAAACAUGCUCGAAAAGUCCUGAAACUUUGCACACGCGUCAGACCUGGUGAAAAUUUACGUCUGAUAUAGGUUUCAGAAGAGGGUGUGGCAAAAUGGCUCGACAGCGCCACCUACCGUAAAAAUCAACAGCCCUCGAGCUGUGUUUCACGUACAUGCACGAAAAAUUGGCACACAUAUGUAAAGCAUCAGUACCUACAAAA
This is a long non-coding RNA of Cyprinus carpio carpio, 1600 nucleotides long. The record is from Ensembl. NCBI's taxonomy places the organism in Eukaryota, Metazoa, Chordata, Actinopteri, Cypriniformes, Cyprinidae.